This 520-nucleotide ribosomal RNA is filed under the name uncultured Gigasporaceae. RNAcentral describes it as "SSU rRNA". It matches the Rfam family "Eukaryotic small subunit ribosomal RNA", at positions 569 to 1092 of the family's 1831-position model. Lineage: Eukaryota; Fungi; Glomeromycota; Glomeromycetes; Diversisporales; Gigasporaceae. The record is from RNAcentral.
AGCAGCCGCGGUAAUUCCAGCUCCAAUAGCGUAUAUUAAAGUUGUUGCAGUUAAAAAGCUCGUAGUUGAAUUUCGGGGUUCUACCGUCGGUCGGGCUACCAAGUCUGUACUGGUGUGUAGAAUUCCUACCUUCUGGGGAACCAUCAUGUUAUUAAUUUAGCGUAGUGGGAAACCAGGACCUUUACCUUGAAAAAAUUAGAGUGUUCAAAGCAGGCUUAUGUCUGAAUACAUUAGCAUGGAAUAAUAGAAUAGGACGGUGGUCCUGUUUUGUUGGUUUCUGAAUCACCGUAAUGAUUAAUAGGGAUAGUUGGGGGCAUUAGUAUUCAAUUGUCAGAGGUGAAAUUCUUGGAUUUAUUGAAGACUAACUUCUGCGAAAGCAUUUGCCAAGGAUGUUUUCAUUAAUCAAGAACGAAAGUUAGGGGAUCGAAGACGAUCAGAUACCGUCGUAGUCUUAACCAUAAACUAUGCCGACUAGGGAUCGGACGAUGUUAAAUUUUAUUGACUCGUUCGGCGCCUUACG